This is a non-coding RNA of Acanthosepion pharaonis, 110 nucleotides long. NCBI's taxonomy places the organism in Eukaryota, Metazoa, Mollusca, Cephalopoda, Sepiida, Sepiidae. The record is from the annotation of a GenBank genome assembly.
UGCCAUAUCUCGUUGAAACACCGGUUCUCGGACGAUCACUGAAAUUAAGCAACAUCGAGCUUGGUCAAUACCUAGAUGGGUGACCGUUAGGAAGUACCAGAUGCUGUAAG